Oncorhynchus keta (chum salmon) is the source of this 1834-nucleotide long non-coding RNA. RefSeq lists it as uncharacterized. Lineage: Eukaryota; Metazoa; Chordata; Actinopteri; Salmoniformes; Salmonidae. The record is from RefSeq and is a predicted model, not a curated record. The transcript has 2 exons.
CCCUGGUAGUUAAUAUAUUGAUCGUUCUCUCCCCUGGUAGUUAAUGUAUUGAUCGUUCUCUCCCCUGGUAGUUAAUAUAUUGAUCGUUCUCUCCCCUGGUAGUUAAUAUAUUGAUCGUUCUCUCCCCUGGUAGUUAAUAUAUUGAUCGUUCUCUCCCCUGGUAGUUAAUAUAUUGAUUGUUCACUCCCCUGGUUAGAGGGGAACCAGCAGUGUUGUGGAUCUUCUGCACUACUUUACAAGACCAACCAAUAAUCCCUGUCUUUUGUGAUGCUAGCAACUGGAGCUACUUACAGCUGGGACUCCCUGACCACAAACCUUGUGUUGGAUUGUUUUCUUAAUAUACAGGUGGAACUGCCAAAAUAAAGGAAACACUAUACUUGAAGGCAGGUGCUUCCACACAGGUGUGGUUCCUGAGUUCAUUAAGCAAUUAACAUCCCAUUAUGCUUAGGGUCAUGUAUACAAAUGUCCCAGUUGCCCAUUAUUUUGGCUACCAUGUCUAGAAGAAGAGAUGUCAGUGACUUAGAAAGAGGGGUCUGAAAGGAGCAUAGGGGGUUUGAAGGCUGUGUGUGUCAGUCAACAGAUGUCAAGCCGACACUGCGUUUUCUGCAUCAACAAAACACCAAAUGAUGUAAUUUCUCGUGGAAGAAUGGUGUCUCAUUCCUCCAAUAGAGUUCCAGACUCUAGUAGAAUCUAUGACGAGGUGCAUUGAACCUGUUCUGAUUGGUGGAGGCCCAACGCCCUAUUAGGACACUUGUUGGUGUUUAUACUUUAUUUUGGCAGUUACCUGUAUAUUGUAAUGAAUUCAGGUGACUAUGCAGCUGCUGGGUUAUAUAGGCCUGUGUAGGGUUGGGAUAAUCUAAUCCUGUGUAGGGUUGGUGGGUUGGGAUAAUCUAAUCCUGUGUAGGGUUGGUGGGUUGGGAUAAUCUAAUCCUGUGUAGGGUUGGGAUAAUCUAAUCCUGUGUAGGGUUGGGAUAAUCUAAUCCUGUGUAGGGUUGGGAUAAUCUAAUCCUGUGUAGGGUUGGGAUAAUCUAAUCCUGUGUAGGGUUGGGAUAAUCUAAUCCUGUGUAGGGUUGGGAUAAUCUAAUCCUGUGUAGGGUUGGGAUAAUCUAAUCCUGUGUAGGGUUGGGAUAAUCUAAUCCUGUGUAGGGUUGGGAUAAUCUAAUCCUGUUACACCACCUAGUAGCAUCCAACAUUUUGGCGCUAAACAUUUUAUAUAUCCAAAUCCCAUCCUUCAUGGAGAUUUACUGAAUCAUAUUCACGUCAUCUUAAUCUGGGAUCCUAAAAUAGUUUCCCCCCCAGAGGGAGUCUGUGAUUGUGUCCUAAACGGCCACCUAUUCCCUAUCUAGUGAACUCUUUUUGACAAGGGGCCAUAGGACUUUUUGUCAAGAGUAGUGCGCUAAAUAAGGGAAUAGGGUUGCCAAUUGAGAAGCACUCUGUAUUAUAGCGAUAAACACUUUUAACAUAUGCAUUUAUUUCCGUGUUUUUCUUUUGUUUUCUGAGAACCAUAUUGAAUUUGUUUGUCAGUGUCAUAUGUGAUGUCAACUUGUUGUGCUGUUGUUACCUAUAAAUAAAUAAAAACAGGCUUGGCAUCAAUUCCAUUCAGGAAGUUGACUGAAGAUCACUUUUAAAAUAGAAUCAUUUUGAGGAGAAUUGGAAUUUCAGUUUACUUCAUGAAUUGACUGAAUUGAAAUGGAAUUGACCCCCCCCCCCAACCCUGUACCUGAAUGAUAUCCACCUGUCCAAAUGUUGAGGACAAUUAAUACAUGUCUGUCUACUCACCUGUAACAACAGUGUUAACUCAUCCUGUAGUAGGCAAUAAAUACAUUGAUUCAAG